This 950-nucleotide ribosomal RNA is filed under the name Staphylococcus aureus. RNAcentral's name for it is "partial 23S ribosomal RNA". It matches the Rfam family "Bacterial large subunit ribosomal RNA", at positions 877 to 1827 of the family's 2925-position model. The record is from RNAcentral. Lineage: Bacteria; Bacillati; Bacillota; Bacilli; Caryophanales; Staphylococcaceae.
UAGCCUCAAGUGAUGAUUAUUGGAGGUAGAGCACUGUUUGGACGAGGGGCCCCUCUCGGGUUACCGAAUUCAGACAAACUCCGAAUGCCAAUUAAUUUAACUUGGGAGUCAGAACAUGGGUGAUAAGGUCCGUGUUCGAAAGGGAAACAGCCCAGACCACCAGCUAAGGUCCCAAAAUAUAUGUUAAGUGGAAAAGGAUGUGGCGUUGCCCAGACAACUAGGAUGUUGGCUUAGAAGCAGCCAUCAUUUAAAGAGUGCGUAAUAGCUCACUAGUCGAGUGACACUGCGCCGAAAAUGUACCGGGGCUAAACAUAUUACCGAAGCUGUGGAUUGUCCUUUGGACAAUGGUAGGAGAGCGUUCUAAGGGCGUUGAAGCAUGAUCGUAAGGACAUGUGGAGCGCUUAGAAGUGAGAAUGCCGGUGUGAGUAGCGAAAGACGGGUGAGAAUCCCGUCCACCGAUUGACUAAGGUUUCCAGAGGAAGGCUCGUCCGCUCUGGGUUAGUCGGGUCCUAAGCUGAGGCCGACAGGCGUAGGCGAUGGAUAACAGGUUGAUAUUCCUGUACCACCUAUAAUCGUUUUAAUCGAUGGGGGGACGCAGUAGGAUAGGCGAAGCGUGCGAUUGGAUUGCACGUCUAAGCAGUAAGGCUGAGUAUUAGGCAAAUCCGGUACUCGUUAAGGCUGAGCUGUGAUGGGGAGAAGACAUUGAGUCUUCGAGUCGUUGAUUUCACACUGCCGAGAAAAGCCUCUAGAUAGAAAAUAGGUGCCCGUACCGCAAACCGACACAGGUAGUCAAGAUGAGAAUUCUAAGGUGAGCGAGCGAACUCUCGUUAAGGAACUCGGCAAAAUGACCCCGUAACUUCGGGAGAAGGGGUGCUCUUUAGGGUUAACGCCCAGAAGAGCCGCAGUGAAUAGGCCCAAGCGACUGUUUAUCAAAAACACAGGUCUCUGCU